RNAcentral lists this ribosomal RNA (492 nucleotides) under uncultured bacterium. RNAcentral describes it as "partial 16S ribosomal RNA". It matches the Rfam family "Bacterial small subunit ribosomal RNA", at positions 29 to 507 of the family's 1533-position model. The record is from RNAcentral.
AGUGAACGCUGGCGGUAGGCCUAACACAUGCAAGUCGAACGGCAGCACAGUAAGAGCUUGCUCUUACGGGUGGCGAGUGGCGGACGGGUGAGGAAUACAUCGGAAUCUACCUUUUCGUGGGGGAUAACGUAGGGAAACUUACGCUAAUACCGCAUACGACCUACGGGUGAAAGCAGAGGAUCUUCGGACCUUGCGCGAUUGAAUGAGCCGAUGUCGGAUUAGCUAGUUGGCGGGGUAAAGGCCCACCAAGGCGACGAUCCGUAGCUGGUCUGAGAGGAUGAUCAGCCACACUGGAACUGAGACACGGUCCAGACUCCUACGGGAGGCAGCAGUGGGGAAUAUUGGACAAUGGGCGCAAGCCUGAUCCAGCCAUACCGCGUGGGUGAAGAAGGCCUUCGGGUUGUAAAGCCCUUUUGUUGGGAAAGAAAAGCAGCAGGUUAAUACCCCGCUGUUCUGACGGUACCCAAAGAAUAAGCACCGGCUAACUUCGUG